Molecule: non-coding RNA, 45 nt
Organism: Schistosoma mansoni
Lineage: Eukaryota; Metazoa; Platyhelminthes; Trematoda; Strigeidida; Schistosomatidae
Source: Rfam
AUCCAGCUGAUGAGUCCCAAAUAGGACGAAGCACGCGUUCUGAAU